Molecule: long non-coding RNA, 5447 nt
Filed under: Manihot esculenta (cassava)
Lineage: Eukaryota; Viridiplantae; Streptophyta; Magnoliopsida; Malpighiales; Euphorbiaceae
Description: long non-coding RNA (MESC_LNC011739)
Source: RNAcentral
UUCGGCAGCCGAAAGGCGUGCCUCCCAGGCAGGUUCGGCAGCCGAAAGUCCUUCGGUUGCCGAACCUGGUUUCUGCCAGAAGGGUAGAAACUCGGCUCCUCAUGCACAUUGCCUCCCCUUUCAUUCAACCAUGCAUAAACCUAUUCUACAACACACAUACACAAGCAUACAAGCUCCUAGGGGCUUCAAACUAUCUUAAACACCCAUCUACAACACAUCAAACAUCCACAUUGUUCAAAAACAUAACAUAAACCCAUAAACCUAACCAUAAGCUAAACAUGCAGUCUACCCCAAAGAUCUUCAUAAAACUUGUUUGAAACACAAAGUGAGCUCAAGAUCGGCCUUUACCUCUUGAACAUCGAGAGGAAAAUGACCUUAGCUCGGAGAUUGGAGAGAGAGAGUUCCUUGAACCUCCAAGCUCUAAAACUUGCUCAAAUGCUCAGAACUUCAAAACAAAGCGAAAACUUGUGAAAAUCUUGAAAGAUCUGAAGGAAGGAACUCAAAAUCGGUGAGAGAUGGCGGAGAGCUCACCUUGGUCGACAAUGGGGAGAAAAGCUCGCCCGUUUUCGGCUAAGGGACGCCUUUAUAGGUGGCUGGCCAGGCCACAUUCAGGGGCCGAACAUGCCUCCGCAUGCAUGAAAUGUUCGGCGGCGGAACAUGAGGUUCGGCCACCGAACCUAGACUUCCCACACUUAUGCUUUCGGGGGCCUAAAAUACUCCCAAAGCGCAAGCAUGUUCGGCGGCCGAACUUGAGGUUCGGCGGCCGAACCUGGGUCUUCCUCUAAGAUCAUUUUCAAGCAAAAACUCAUUUUCUUUCUUGAUUAAAAGCAUAAAGCACAUUAAAACAUUUUAUAAAAACAUGGUUUUACCCUUCUAGAGGUCUCCGACAGCCGAGAUUCCACCGGACGGUAGGAAUUCCGAUACCGGAGUCUAGCCGGGUAUUACAGCAGGGAUUAAGGUGAGCAUGUCCUGUGACAAACUCGCUUAAUCAAGGAUAUCGAAAAGCAAGAUGGACUUCAUAAUUUCUCUUUGUAGCGAACUCGAGACGUUAAUAGAUGUGGCAUCUCCCAAAAUGACAUAAGUUAUCUCUGUUUCAACCAAUAAUUAUUCCUUGAUAGAAGGAGAGAGAAUCGAGAGUAGUGAAGAAUAAACUAGUGGCUAUCCAACAAGAGGGGGUGCAAGAGUAAACUCAACAAAAAGCAGCAUUCAAUAAAGUAUUGUCUAUCUGUGCAUAAGUGGAACAAAACAAAUAAAUAAAUAAAUAAAUGUGGUAAUUAUGAGAAAUGAGUACAGUGGUUAUCAACUGUUAUGAUAUUCUUUUAUAAAUUACUUGAUCCUGAUGCGUAACUAGUGAGCAAGCUAUUGCUCCUAUAACUUUUGCUAUGUUGUGCAGCAUUGUUAAUGCAUAAGGAAAAGUUUUGAGAGAUCCAUAUGAAACACUGGUAGGGAUGAGAUGGUGAUAGAUCAAAGGUGGUAGUUGCCUCAUCUCUCAAAACAUAUCCUUUACAAGGAUACAGAAAACGAGCAUCAAAAUAGAAAGGGCAUACCCUAAAAAGAGAAAAAAAAGGGGAAAAAAAAAAAAGAAACCAAGACUAAGUUUUGCAAUAAUGAAAAUGAGUCAAAAAGUGGAAUAGAUGGGAGUCUAAAGGGGAUAAAAAGAAAAUAACAAUUACAAGAGUAGGAAACAAUGUAUGAUAAGUGCCAACCAACUUGAUUGCCGAGCACAUGUUCAUUCUCUUUGAGGUAAGUAAACAUGUUGAUAGGACAACUAAGAGGAAUGUAGGGUAACAUUGGGCGAGAGUUGUAUCAAAUGUCGUUGGGAGCAACAGUGUUGUGAAAGCAAAUAAUUCACUCAUCCUACGAUAAAAAGAAGGAGGAUAAGCGAAAACUGACAAAAGUGAGGACCAUUGAAUUAGUCAAAGGAGUGUGGUGCUCAAGGUAAUGAUGAGAGAUUGAGAUCCUUAAUGAUAAUUCAGUACGAGAGAAAGGAAUUUAACUAGAGAGAACCCUCUCACAACCGAUGAGUAUAAUGUUUUUGUGUUUCUUGAUAUCAUUCUUUAUCUUACUUUAUUUAGUUAUUCAUUUAUUCUGAGAUAUUUUGUGUAUUAUUGAGUCAGGUUCCUUGUGAUAUGGGACUUGACAAGUUGAUGCUAACAGAUAUUCUAAACAUAUAGGGUAUAGCUUCCUUAAAAGGGAUUGGAAAAUAAUGUGUAAUUAAAAGGAUAAAUUUAAUCCUACCUUUAUUGUUGAGUAGGAAAGUGACCUAAUGGCUAGACAAAAGUUCUCAUAAGUGGAUCAAUGUGGAGGAGAACCGAGAUAGGUCGAGAAGCACAGGUUGCUUGAGGCAAGUUGGGGAGGCGAGUCAAUGUAGGAAGGUAUGAUGAAUGCGGUAUAAUAAAGAGAGUAUCUUCUAGUAAUUUCUUAGUGUCGAAUCAUAAUGAUGAUAUUAAUUGCUUCAUGUAUAGUCAAUCUUAAUAGUUGUUUUGAGUAGAUUUCUGCGACUCAUAGGGUUCAACAAGAAAAGGGCACUUUUCAGUGGUCGUGGUUAUUUCGUGUGUAAUGUGUGUUGUUUUAUAGGCAUUUGCAUAAACUACAUUCUUAGGGAGAGGAAAAGGAGAUAAAGUGAGCAUAAUACCAGAGCUUAUGAAGGGGAGGACCGUAAGACGUACAAAAGAGAAAGAGAGUGUUGAGCAAACUCUUUUAACAAUGGGGACACCGAUUUCUUAGGAGUAUUCGUCGAGCUUCGCUACAAGUGGAAUAACGUGGUGUUAUGUCAAGGGGAUGGGUAAAGGCAGUUCAAGUCUUAGUGGUCAAGUGCUAUUGACACACCUGUUGAUUUGUAAUGGGUUGUAUUCUAGAUGACUUGCUAUACUAAUUCGUAUUUAAAUCUGACGUGAUUAGUACUAAUCUUUCUUAUAAGACUAUUACAGGUUAAUCACGAUGUCGUGUGGUAUGAGUGUAUGCAGGUUGAUAGAUUUGUUGCACGAUGGAGUUGUGCUUUUGAGGCGAAGAAUAAGGUCGAAAAUUAAAGGCAAGUAAUGGCGAGACAUGUUUAGGAUAAAAGAAUCAGUGAUCAAUGAGUUCAAGCAAUAAGUUCGUGCAGAGGAGUAAAGUAACAAUUUCUCACACCAUUUGCAGUAGACUAAGGAAUCAAGGGCAGAACAUUUACCACCAGAAGAUAGAGCUUUUGUAGUUUCAUCAUCAUAAAGAACUAGCAGUUCACAGAGAUACCAAGAACUGAAUGAUUUCAAACAAAAGGAGUAAGGCUAUCCAACAAUUUAAUCAACCAGGACUGGGAUCAAAUCCCACUGCAAGCAAGCCUAAGAGUGUCGGACUCGAAGAUUGAAGAACCCCAACAAACUCAGUCAACGAGAACGUCGACCGUUUAAGUGGGGGAGUGUCAGGUUUAUAGAGUUUUCAGGGAUCAAAACUGUAAUUUCCAACAUUAGAGUUCCUAGGAAACAAUAAUGGGAAAAAUUAGUAGAAAUUAUUAAGAAGAUAAGGGUCGAGACAAUUUUUUAUAAUUCCUUUCCAUGUAUUUAUUUUGGGAGGGUGUCAUAUGAGACAUAUUGUGUAACGACCCGAAAAUCCGGACCGCUACCGGCGCUAGGAUCCGGAUCGGCGUAAGGCCGCCGGGACCCGUAGCAAGCCUGACAUAUAACCUGUAAACCUGUAAAUCCCAUGAUCAAACAAACUUAAAAGAAUCUGUAAACAUUCUCAUAUAUCAAUCAAGCUCAACCUGUACAUUACAUAAUCAUAAACAUAAACCACCACUGGAGCCCUCAUCAAAUGCUCCAAUGGGGUAUCUCAUCAUACAUUGAGCUUGGACCAUCAUGGACAUCAUAAACAUAUCUAUAGAUCAUGUAUCAAAAGGGACAACAAUACUCAUAGGGUCAAACACAACUAUAACCUCAAUAUAUCUCAUUACAUAACAUGCUAUAAUCUUUUACAUUACGUCAUAGUACAACUGUCAUGUCCACAAUCUAACUAGUACAUAAACAUACUUCAAGUCUCUGGCUAACCUCCUGAUCUACCCUGUACCUGCACAUCUGGGGUUAGGGGAGAGGGGUGAGCUACAAGAGCCCAGUGAGCAGAAUAAUAAAACAUUAUAUCUUAAAAUUUCAUGCUUUCAUGAAAUGCGUCACAUCACAAACAAUCUACAUAAUGGAUGAACUUGUCACCAUAUAGCCCUCCAUACAAUCUAAUUAUGCCAGGGGCGUAAAGCAGGCUCGCCUGGACUUCCAUGUCAUAUCAUACAUACCAAUUAUGCCGAGGGCGUAGAGCAGGCACACCCGGACUUCCAUAGAAUGAUGCCAGGGGCGUAGAGCAGGCUCGCCUGGACUUCCAUGCCUAGUACAUAAGGGCUAAUGGAUCAUUCAACAUUCAUCCGCAUCAAAUAGCAUAAAGUGCAAUGCAACAUCUUCAUGAGAUCUAAUGCAAGCAACCUAUAAUAUCGCAUGGUAGUCAUGAUGCAUGAGCAUGCUCAAAAAUUUAUAAUUUCGUUAAUUUAAAACUUAAGGGUUUAUUCUACUCACCUCUGGUUGGCUCUAAAGACUCUGACAAGUUACUGAAGCAGCUAGCACUGCUGGGGUCCUCGGUUCCUUGGGUCCGAACCUACACAGGUGGACUCUAGUGAGGGACCAAACAUACUGUAACAUGACUCUAAAAACAUCCCCAAAAAACCCCCUAAAACAUCAUGAAAUAAUCAUAGAAAAACAUGCAUGAAAUGGCUGAACAGGGCACUUUCGGCGGCAGGUUCGGCGGCCGAAAGUCCCUCCAGAGCCGAAACCCAGGCAGGUUCGGCGGCACCUUCGGCGGCCGAAAGUCCCAGACAGAGACGAAAGUCAAUUUUCGGGGGCAACUUCGGCAGCCGAAAGGCCUGUCUCCCAGGCAGGUUCGGCGGCCGAAAAUCCCUUCGGCGGCCGAACCUGGUUUCUGCCAAAGGGCAGAAACUCGGUUCCUCAUGCACAUUUCGCCUCCCAAACUUCAAAUCAUGCAUAUAUCUCAACCAUCACAUGCAUACAAGUUCCUAGGGGCCUCAAAACAUCAAAUACCCCAACUACAACACUUCAAAUAAACAUAAUCAACACACAUUGUUCAAAACAUCAAUAUAACCCAUAAACUCAACAUAUAACCUAACAUGCAUUUCUACCCAAAGAACUCAUAAAAACUUACUUAAAACAUUCAAGGAGCUUAAGAUCGGCUCUUACCUCUUGAAGAUCGAGAGAGAGACGACCUAAACUUGGAGAUCCAAGAAAAUGAGCUCCUGAGUUCCCAAAGCUCCAAAACUUGUUUCAAAACUUCAAAACUUGCAAUGUGAGGUUAAAACCCAAGAAAAAUGGUGGGGAUUUGGAGGAAGAUCACAAGAUUUGCAAGAGGGAGGUCGGAAGCUCGCUGUGGCCGAAAAUGGGAGAAAGCUCGCCCAUUUCGGCUAAGUGCCCCAUUUA